This 445-nucleotide ribosomal RNA is filed under the name uncultured bacterium. Its description in RNAcentral is "bacterial SSU rRNA". It matches the Rfam family "Bacterial small subunit ribosomal RNA", at positions 354 to 796 of the family's 1533-position model. The record is from RNAcentral. RNAcentral also lists the same sequence under 1 other name.
GUGAGGAAUAUUGGUCAAUGGGCGGAAGCCUGAACCAGCCAAGUCGCGUGAGGGAAGAAGGCCCUGCGGGUCGCAGACCUCUUUGGACGGGGAGCAAGGCCGCCGACGUGUCGGCGGAAGGAGAGUACCCGUAGAACAAGCAUCGGCUAACUCCGUGCCAGCAGCCGCGGUAAUACGGAGGAUGCGAGCGUUAUCCGGAUUUAUUGGGUUUAAAGGGUGCGCAGGCGGCACGGCAAGCCGGCGGUCAAAUCGCGGGGCUCAACCCCGCCCAGCCGUCGGAACUGCCGGGCUAGAGUGGGCGAGAAGUGCGCGGAAUGCGUGGUGUAGCGGUGAAAUGCAUAGAUAUCACGCAGAACUCCGAUUGCGAAGGCAGCGCACCGGCGCCCUACUGACGCUCAGGCACGAAAGCGUGGGUAUCGAACAGGAUUAGAAACCCUUGUAGUCC